GAUGAACGCUGGCGGCGUGCUUAACACAUGCAAGUCGAACGGAAAGGCCUCUGCUUGCAGGGGUACUCGAGUGGCGAACGGGUGAGUAACACGUGGGUGAUCUGCCCUGCACUUCGGGAUAAGCCUGGGAAACUGGGUCUAAUACCGGAUAGGACAAUGGUUUGGAUGCUGUUGUGGAAAGUUUUUCGGUGUGGGAUGAGCUCGCGGCCUAUCAGCUUGUUGGUGGGGUAAUGGCCUACCAAGGCGUCGACGGGUAGCCGGCCUGAGAGGGUGUACGGCCACAUUGGGACUGAGAUACAGCCAAGACUCCUACGGGAGGCAGCAGGGGGGAAUAUUGGACAAUGGGAGCAAGCCUGAUGCAGCGACGCCGCGUGGGGGAUGACGGCCUUCGGGUUGUAAACUCCUUUCGCUAGGGACGAAGCGUUUUUGUGACGGUACCUGGAGAAGAAGCACCGGCUAACUACGUG
This 467-nucleotide ribosomal RNA is filed under the name uncultured bacterium. RNAcentral's name for it is "partial 16S ribosomal RNA". It matches the Rfam family "Bacterial small subunit ribosomal RNA", at positions 28 to 507 of the family's 1533-position model. The record is from RNAcentral.